Molecule: long non-coding RNA, 226 nt
Filed under: Elaeis guineensis (African oil palm)
Lineage: Eukaryota; Viridiplantae; Streptophyta; Magnoliopsida; Arecales; Arecaceae
Description: long non-coding RNA (EGUI_LNC015380)
Source: RNAcentral
UACCAUCAAGAUGGACGAGGUCACCGUAGCGAUACUCCAGAAUAAGGUUCUAAGAAGGGAGAACCUGACUUUGACCUCAGGUGGCAGUAGCUCAGCUUUGGUGGCUUCUGGAGGAGCAGGAGGUGGUAGACGGAGUGACAGGAGAUCGCGAUGAGGAUGGUCCAAAUCUAGGAGGGACUUGAGCAAAAUCAGGAGUUACCGGUGUGACGAGUUGGGGUAUCUAGCC